This is an RNA transcript of Dromaius novaehollandiae (emu), 6547 nucleotides long. It is a transcript of the gene named Jupiter microtubule associated homolog 1, with no coding region annotated. Lineage: Eukaryota; Metazoa; Chordata; Aves; Casuariiformes; Dromaiidae. The transcript has 6 exons. The record is from RefSeq and is a predicted model, not a curated record.
UAUAAAAGGCGUGGCCGGUGCGGGCGGCGGCUGCAGUUGUCACCGGCAGCAGCAGAGGCAGGGCGAGAAGGGGGAAGGUGCUCUGGUCCCGGGACCGUCACUCCCCGCCGGCCUUUAACGGAGCCCUUUCCCCUCCCUCCGUCUCCUCCAUCCCUGCCGCCAUGACCACCACGACCACCUUCUCGGGCAUGGACCCCAGUGGCAGGAACAGCUCCAGAGUACUGCGCCCUCCUGGUGGUGGGUCCAACUUUUCAUUGGGUUUUGAUGAGCCAAAAGAACAACCUGUGCGAAGGAACAAAAUGGCAUCCAGCAUCUUUGGACCUCCUGAAGAAAACCCACCUUCUUGGGCUAAAUCAUCGGGGGCUAAGCCGGGUGAAGUCAGAGAAGACUGUGAGUCAUCUGGGCCACAAAGAAGAAACUCAACUGAUGCAAACUGCGGAGACUUUGUAGAUCCGAAGGGAGGAGAUGGUGGUGUUGAAACUUCUGAGCACAGAAGCUGAGCACCAUGAAUAAUGCAGCCGAUAUCAGGAAAAAACUGGAGGUAUAGAAGACACAGUGGAAAUUGCUAGUUAUGUCCACCAGGAGACCUGAAACAGGAAUCACGGUUUAGUCAAAGAGAAGAUGCAUACUAAAGGCAACUGUAUGACAUUUAUGUAAAUGUUAAACCUAAAUCACUUGUCAAACUGCCAUAUACAAGCAUUCACAGAUGAGUUAAGUUCUCUUGCAUAGAUUCUAGAGCUCCUUUGUUUGUAGUCACUUCUCAGGUGGUGUUUCUGCUUCUGUACAAAGCAUUUCUCAAUAAACUGAGAAAUCAGGAAAGAAAGGAAGCUGUAAUUUUUUUCCCAGUCUCCUGAUUCAUUGUGUUUACUCAGCAGAGGAUCUCUGUGUCACUGCCACUCACUGGAUUUUGGAAUAAGUAACCUGCUUACAUCCCAGGUCAGAACACAGAGCAAGUAAACAGAGAACUAUCUCAAAAAUCAAUGUGUUUUAGUCUCUAAACUGAAACCUCAUCUUCUUUUAAUAGUGCGUAAUCAGGGUGAGGAAAAUUCACAGCACAGCAAGUAUUAUAACUAAUAUUAAGUGUCUCAAUAUAAAACAUUUAGAAGAGAGGUAUAUUAAAUGAGUAUUUUAACAUUAAUCCUAGAGAUGGAAAGAUGAUAUUCAAGUCACACAUGUGGUGCCGCCUCUACAGGCUACAUCUAUAUAUGGGAUGCUGGAAUAAUGUUUGUUUCCUGCAGCAUUCUUUGUUAAGAAUUGGCCAUGUUUCCUUUCAUAGUGGGUUUUCUUUAGCAGACUUCAGGAGUCCAAAUAAAAAUGGAGCUGUUCUUACUGUGCUUUGCUGUGCCUAUCUGCCUUUACUAUCAAAUGUCCAAGAAAACACUUUUUUCACUUUGAAAAAAGUGACUGACACUCUAAUGCCUGGUAGUACUGUGAAAUAUCGUGCAUAUUAUCAUCCCAUUCUUAGAAUAGGCAGAUAUUUUACUGCUGAAUGACACACAAUUCAUUGUCUAGAGAAGAGAACUGAAACCCAGAAUUGAUUCAUGCUCAGGUUUGUAUUUCUUGCUUGUCUUUCUUUUGAAUGUGCUGCUAUACUGCAGGAGCAGCUGUGUCUUCAGCAGGUCACUUUAGCACUGUUUGGAGUGAACCUGUGAUGUUGUGAAUAAUAUAUUGGAUUGGGGGCCGUAACUGACUCCCUGUCUCCAGAGAAGAAUGAAUAAACUCUAGGGCUCGGAAGGAAGGUUUCUCUCACCUGUGAGAGGAGGUCCAAUGAGGAGAGUGAUGCUCUCCAGGAUGGUGAAGAGCCCUAAAGCACUUGAGAACCUUUCCAUCUGCACCACAUCCAUCAGCACCUGGAAGACGAGCGCCCCGAUGCCACUCAUGGCUAUGCUGGUGAUGAUGCAGUAGAUGAUGAGCACACUGAACUUGGCUGAAAUGACACAAAUGAAAUUGCUCAGCCCGCAGAGGAGUGCAGCCAGGCUGAACAGGUAGAUACGUCUGCCUGUGAAGACACUGAGUCCUGAGAGCAGCCCUGUCAAAGGGCGUAUGAAGAUGUUGAUGAACCCGAUAAUGGAGACGAGGAGAGCUGCCCUGCGUUCCUCCACCCCACUGUGGAUGGCAUAAGGCAUGAGGUAGAUGUGGGGUAAUGCAAAACCCAACAUCAUCCAGCUCACUCCAAUAGUAUAAAUCUGGUAACCUUUGUUUUGGCAGAAGAUGUCAAAAGCCAAGUACUUGUGCAACAUCCGGAAGCAUGUAGGCCUGGCUUGCUGCUGGAUCUCUGGGUGGGGAGAAGAUCCUCCGUUGGCCAGCUGUGCCUCUUCUGCUUCUCUCCCUGGCUCCUCCCCAGGCCUGGCUGGCUGUAGAAAUGAUUGAGAUGCAAGCUGAACUGGUCUCAUAAUGGCUCCACAAACGCAACAGUUGAAUAGUAUUCCUCCAAAGAUGAGAAAAGUGUUUCUCCAGCCCAUGUCAUCCAGCAAGUACUGAGAAAGCAGUGGCCACAGUGUGAAACCGAGGGAGACACCCGUGGAUGCCAUGGCAUUGGCCAAGGUUCGCCACCGUACAAAGUAGUAGCCCAACGCAGUCACUCCUGCCUGGAAGCCAAAACAUGAUCCCAGACCUAAGGAAAGAGAGAAAUAGAAAAUGACAGCUCAUGAAGCUUUUGUGGUGCCUUGCAAGGUGAAAAGAGCCCAAAUUCAGGCUGUACUCACAGAUGACUACAUUUACCACUGAGGUAUUUCCUCACCUGACAAGCUGCGCAACCCCCAGUGAUUAAUACUCAGUAGCCCUGCACAAGAGGUGAAGGAGGAUGUUUUGGGUAAAUUAAAUGCUUCGUGUUCUUAGGUAUACUGGAUACACUGAUCUAAGCUGACGUUUGUCUGGGGCACACUGCUGUUCCUAAAAUUGUUAUGAAAUUGUCCAUUAGAAAAACGCCGAGGACUUGUUUUUUAUACUGCCUGCAGCAGAUAGUGCUGUUUUUCUGACACUUUCCUCAUGCUCAGGUAGUUACUCGUUGGUUUUCUCUAUGCAGCACGUGCUGCUUAGCUUGCAAGAUCCAACAGGGUUCAGUCGUGAAGUGACCUGGCUGCAGAUACUCAUUUCUCUGUGUUAGGAAAGAGCAAGAGCAGAGCAACUGAUACAUAAAGGAAAUAUUUGGAGAGGAAAAGUUCCCACCUGUUACUUCUGUUCAAAACCAACACAUUCUUUUGUUAGAGAAAGAUAUCUCCACAUUUCCGCAGACUGGGAGUGGUGAAAUACAAGUGCAGGGAACUUGUGAAGAAAGUUGUCUGAACACAUUACAUUCCAAGAUUGAAAAAAAUUCCUUUCUCAAAAACAAAAGGCUAUGGAGCUACUAAAAAGAGCAGAUGUCUUUGCUCUCCAUCUCACUCAUUAGAAACCCAUAGCUCCAUGUGGCUCACAGAAGAAGCACUUUCCAGUGAGCUUGGGUGGGCCAGGUGUGCGUUAAAGGGGUGUGAAGGGGAAGUCCAUCCAGUAUGUAAUUCCUGCUAAGCUGUGGGUUUUUUGAUUCAUCCUAUUUGUCCGAUGAGUGAAAAACGUGAGCCCGUGGUCUGGACUCUGCUCAUUCUCACCACUUCCCGUCUCAACACCCCCAAAUCAAGCGCAGCAGCUGGAUUUUCCUGCUGUGCUGUGAUACUCACCAGUGAUGAAGCCGGCAGUUAUGUAAAGCUGGCUGAGGGACUUGCAGAAGGAGCUGGACACCAUGCCCGCUCCGCUGAGCAGGCCUCCCAGCAUCACAGUAAACCUGCAGCCAAAUCGCUUAACCAGAAAGCUGCAGAGGGGCCCUGGAAGCAGUCAAAGAAGCAGAAGGAAAGCAGUUAUGGAGAAAGAAAUUAUCUUGUGCUUGAGAUUGCCCUCUAAUACCUGCUGGACUGCUGCAAUUGUCAAAGCUCGUUGUGUGGUUUAGUCUAGAGACCCUGAGGGUUGUCCCAGCAGUGUCAUGUUACAGAGAAGCCAGAAAUAGAAAAUACAGUCUUUCAUCUUCCCAACUGAUUGGUCAACUUGUCAGCUGAAGGGAAGGCUCCUGUCUUCUGCUUGGUUGUUGGACAUUAGAUAGGAUUUUUAAGCCUCCUUGUGAUAGAGUCUAGGUAAAACUCUUGGAAAUGGAAUGCAAGAGGGACCUUCAGGUGUGACUCAGUGCUUAUAUGAUAUUCUGGGAAUGAUUUGAAAAAGGUUAGGACCUGGACCUGGACUUCUAUGCUACUGAGUAAGAGAUUGUGAGCAGGGUGCUAUUUCUGCUUGCAUGCUUCCACUGUCAUCUCAUUAUGUUUUUCAAAUACUCUGCCACAGAAUUGCCUGAAUUGCCCGUGGCUCCCCUCUACCUAGAUGAAAUUCCCUGCAAGAGGAAGCAGAUCGACUCUGAAACGGAUCAAGGAUGGGAGAAAAAUGUACAUCCUUGAGGAGGAUUAUUUAAAAAUGCAUGGAGAGGCAUAUUUGUGUCUGUGUUGGAAUCAAUCUAUGCUCCAGGCCAUGGCAUCCAAGCUACCGCUUGUGGAGUCUUGCAGCUGUCCUGCAAGUCAUCUCCCCAGGAAAAUAAUAAGGUGUUAUUGCUGGCACAGCUCUUCCCACAUGCUUGUCCUGGCAUAUCUGGCAAGGGUGGGUCAGUAUAACUGUGUCCACUUCUCAGAGGACAUAGGCCUAGGAGCAGCCCGCGCACAUGCCGGUUCCCACUCCCACACCUCCGGCACAAAUAACACAGAGGCGUGAGCAAGACCUCAGUGCAGGUGAGAUCUUCCGGAGGGCCAGACCUCGGGUCUGCCUGUCUUUAGCAGAAACCUGUGUUUUGUUGUGUGCUGACACUGCUGGCAGACUUUACUAAGAAGCAGUUAUGUUAUUUCAUCAGAAAAAACAAUGACCAAAUAGGCUUGGGAGUGUAUGUUUAAGGUCAGUUAAUUCUUUAAUUUUCAUAGACUCAUGGUGAUUUCCAUGCAAUUGUGCCAAAUUGCCAAUUUGUUAUUGUUGCAAAUUUAGGGUGCUUCAUUCUGGGGUAGAAGAUUAGCUCAGACUUGCAGAACGUCAGUGGGAAACAUGCUUCUCUCUGCAUGCUCUGGUAGAAGAGGAGCGGAAGAGAGAGUUUCUUUUUCUGUUCCUAUGAGGAUCCACAAGGAUUUCCAGAUUUUGUUAUCUUUUUUUCUCUGUAACUCUUAAGGUUAUUUAAGCAAAUUCAGCAUGGCUCUAAUUUUCAGAAUUAGCCUUCAGAGAGUGUGGGAAAAUACCCUGUGGUAUCUUUGUGACCUAAAACAAUGGCUGAUUUGAAAUAAAAUCCCCAUAGUCAAGCAAACAAUGGAGUGCUAUUAAAAUUAGGGCUGCAGCUGUUUGUAUUUUGACCUGCUUUAGACAUUUUCACCUCAGACUUCAACUGGCCUUUGAAAAAGUAAUCAGCAGGUUCCGCAAACCAGUGGCUGCAUUCUUCUUCCUCCUGCUGAAGACAUUAAGGUUGGUGCUCCUGUUUAACCCACCCCAGGUUGCCAGAAAUCAUAGACUGAACCCUCCAAAAUCAUGAGAUUGGUUUUAAAAAUCGUAAGGGUUUUUCAUUGUUUGUUCCUGUUAACUUGCUUUCUAGGUUUCAAACAUUAUUUCUCCCUUGCUUGGGGCUUUUGUGCUUUGCUCUGCAAAAAUAAUUCCAGCAAAACUGCUGCAUUCAUACUAAUGUGAGUCUGGAGGGUUAUGUGUGCUUAAGUAUUGAGAAAUGGGAGUCUGCGAGGGCUUGAACUCUUGCAUUUCCCCCACUAAGGACAGUCAUAGGAUCCUGAGGUCUCUUGAAUGAUUCUUACAACAACGUGAUUACCUAUUGCUUUUACCUAGGACCAUUGAAUGGGUAAUGAGCUAUGUUUGGCUUAAUAAGUUAUGAACUAUUGUUUGCGUUGUGCCUUUCCCUGUUUCCCUCCACAGCUCUGCUGGGCUGAGGUUGGCUCUCCUGCACACGAGCGUCUCACUCGACUGAUGGGUCUGAAAAAGGAGUUUUCUGUCCAUUUCCCUUGCUGCUUACUAAUUUUGCAGCAAAUAUUUUUUUUCCUUCAGUUACUCUCAGUUAUAAAGACUAAAGGAGAAGAAAAGCCUGAAGAACCUGUAAGAGGUGCUGGUGCCAUAGCAGAAAGCAGAUUUGGAAAGGGUUCAAAUGCCAAUAUGAUGGAUGCAACCUAAGAACCUGAGUCAAAUAGAGCCUGGGCCACUGCGAAGACGGUCAGAAGUUGCAGCAAAAGCUGUACAUGUCUGGCCUGGGAGGGAGUCUCUUAUCUCUGUUUUUUCACUGUUUCUACUCCCUGGCUUACAGCUGUGUUAAUCCUGCUUUAUGCUCCCGGAGGCAGGUACUCUGCUGCUAUAACAGCCUGCAAUAGCAGAGAAUAACUGGCAAGCCAAGUAACGACUAGCUUGUAAUUUUACUGGUUAUACCUUGUUGAACUGUUAGUGAAUAUGAGUAACAUAAGGCUCUUCUUGUCUACUUUAUAACUUCCAUAUCUAUUUACUGGUUUGUAUUAUCUCUCACUGUGGUUCCAGCCUCACAAUCAUUUCAUUAAAGAAAGUUGGAGAACUG